RNAcentral lists this ribosomal RNA (468 nucleotides) under uncultured Thiocapsa sp. RNAcentral describes it as "bacterial SSU rRNA". It matches the Rfam family "Bacterial small subunit ribosomal RNA", at positions 916 to 1381 of the family's 1533-position model. Lineage: Bacteria; Pseudomonadati; Pseudomonadota; Gammaproteobacteria; Chromatiales; Chromatiaceae. The record is from RNAcentral.
ACGGGGCCCGCACAAGCGGUGGAGCAUGUGGUUUAAUUCGAUGCAACGCGAAGAACCUUACCAGCCCUUGACAUCCUCGGAAUCCUGCAGAGAUGCGGGAGUGCCUUCGGGAGCCGAGAGACAGGUGCUGCAUGGCUGUCGUCAGCUCGUGUCGUGAGAUGUUGGGUUAAGUCCCGUAACGAGCGCAACCCUUGCCCUUAGUUGCCAGCGCGUCAAGGCGGGAACUCUAAGGGGACUGCCGGUGAUAAACCGGAGGAAGGUGGGAUGACGUCAAGUCCUCAUGGCCUUUAUGUCUAGGGCUACACACGUACUACAAUGGCAGGUACAAAGGGCAGCGACACAGCGAUGUGAUGCGAAUCCCGAAAAGCCUGUCUCAGUCCGGAUCGGAGUCUGCAACUCGACUCCGUGAAGUUGGAAUCGCUAGUAAUCGUGGAUCAGCAUGCCACGGUGAAUACGUUCCCGGGCCUU